CGGGUUCGGGUAAACUAAGUAGUGCGAGUCUGAGCGGAACGAUCCUAGCUUGCUAGGAGGCGUCGAGCGGCGGACGGGUGAGUAAUGCAUAGGAAUCUGCCCGGUAGUGGGGGAUAACCUGAGGAAACUCAGGCUAAUACCGCAUACGUCCUACGGGAGAAAGCAGGGGCUCUUCGGACCUUGCGCUAUCGGAUGAGCUUAUGUCGGAUUAGCUGGUUGGUGAGGUAACGGCUCACCAAGGCGACGAUCCGUAGCUGGUCUGAGAGGAUGAUCAGCCACAUCGGGACUGAGACACGGCCCGAACUCCUACGGGAGGCAGCAGUGGGGAAUAUUGGACAAUGGGGGCAACCCUGAUCCAGCCAUGCCGCGUGUGUGAAGAAGGCCCUCGGGUUGUAAAGCACUUUCAGUGAGGAAGAAGGCUUGUCGGUUAAUACCCGGCAAGAAAGACAUCACUCACAGAAGAAGCACCGGCUAACUCCGUGCCAGCAGCCGCGGUAAUACGGAGGGUGCGAGCGUUAAUCGGAAUUACUGGGCGUAAAGCGUGCGUAGGCGGCUUGAUAAGCCGGUUGUGAAAGCCCCGGGCUCAACCUGGGAACGGCAUCCGGAACUGUCAGGCUAGAGUGCAGGAGAGGAAGGUAGAAUUCCCGGUGUAGCGGUGAAAUGCGUAGAGAUCGGGAGGAAUACCAGUGGCGAGGCGGCCUUCUGGACUGACACUGACGCUGAGGUACGAAAGCGUGGGUAGCAAACAGGAUUAGAUACCCUGGUAGUCCACGCCGUAAACGAUGUCGACUAGCCGUUGGGGUCCUCGAGACCUUUGUGGCGCAGUUAACGCACUAAGUCGACCGCCUGGGGAGUACGGCCGCAAGGUUAAAACUCAAAUGAAUUGACGGGGGCCCGCACAAGCGGUGGAGCAUGUGGUUUAAUUCGAUGCAACGCGAAGAACCUUACCUACCCUUGACAUCGUGCGAACUUGGUAGAGAUACCUUGGUGCCUUCGGGAACGCACAGACAGGUGCUGCAUGGCUGUCGUCAGCUCGUGUUGUGAAAUGUUGGGUUAAGUCCCGUAACGAGCGCAACCCUUGUCCCUAUUUGCCAGCGAUUCGGUCGGGAACUCUAGGGAGACUGCCGGUGACAAACCGGAGGAAGGUGGGGACGACGUCAAGUCAUCAUGGCCCUUACGGGUAGGGCUACACACGUGCUACAAUGGCCGGUACAAUGGGUUGCAAAGCGGCGACGUGGAGCUAAUCCCAUAAAGCCGGUCUCAGUCCGGAUCGGAGUCUGCAACUCGACUCCGUGAAGUCGGAAUCGCUAGUAAUCGUGCAUCAGAAUGGCACGGUGAAUACGUUCCCGGGCCUUGUACACACCGCCCGUCACACCAUGGGAGUGGACUGCACCAGAAGUGGUAGCCUAACUACGGACAACGACAACUACGAGUUAUGAGGC
This 1442-nucleotide ribosomal RNA is filed under the name Halomonas sp. GQ62. RNAcentral's name for it is "bacterial SSU rRNA". It matches the Rfam family "Bacterial small subunit ribosomal RNA". The record is from RNAcentral. Lineage: Bacteria; Pseudomonadati; Pseudomonadota; Gammaproteobacteria; Oceanospirillales; Halomonadaceae.